Long non-coding RNA from Octopus sinensis (East Asian common octopus), 1504 nucleotides. RefSeq lists it as uncharacterized. The record is from RefSeq and is a predicted model, not a curated record. The transcript has 2 exons. Lineage: Eukaryota; Metazoa; Mollusca; Cephalopoda; Octopoda; Octopodidae.
GAUAGAAUAAAUACUAGGCUUCCAAAGAAUAUGUCCUGGGGUCGAUUUACUUGACUAAAGGCGGUGCUCCAGCAUGGCCGCAGUCAAAUGACUGAAACCAGUAAAAGAGAGACUUACUUCCAUCUUGAAAUUGCUGAUGUUGUGCUAAAGUUUAAGAUUAAUAUUCUAAGAAUGUUGAAUGGAAUUGGUGCAAUGUAUAAGACACUCAUGAACAGACUGCAGCCUGCAGGAGUUUCUGUACGGCAUGCUUGAUGAAAAAUUACUUUGAAUAUUUUUAACAAUGCAACAUGCCUGAUGAUGGACCAUGUCUAAUGGCCUACUUCUUCAAAAAGUUUACCAAUGCCUGGUAUAAGAUAUUAAAUCCAUUGGUUAUCAUCUCAAAUUUACUGCAAUCAUUUCAGUGCUUUUCCAGAUGGCUAUGUUAUUCUACUAUGUUAUUUCAUCUAGCCUUCAGUAAGAGGGUAUCCGCUCAGCUGUCUUUAACAUGUUGUAGCAUUCAGCUUCAGGUACCAGUUUCUAGCAACCAACAGCAGGUACCAGUUGUCAGUAAUAUGUACCAACUAUCUGUGAUAUGUACCAGCUAUUGGCAAUACAAAUCAGCUAUGAGCAUUAGAUAUCGGUCAGCAACAACAGGUACCAGCAAGUGGUGGUACGUAUAUCAUCAAUCAAAAAAUAGGCACCAACAACAAUUACCAACUGUGAAUAGUAUCUACCAUCAAGGAGCAAAGGGUACCAUCAAGCAGUAACAAGUUCUGAUAGGUACCAAUAAAUAGUAACAGAAACCGGUAAUCAGCAAUAGAAACCAUCCAGCAACAAGCAAGACCAGCUAUCAGGUAGAGGUACCAGUUAUCAGCACCAGCUUAUAGCUAUUGGCAAUAGGUACCAGCUAGCAGCAAUAGAUACUAGCUUUUGGCAAAAAAUACUAGAUAUCGACUAUAAGUACUAGCUAUUAGUAAUAGGUACCAGCUAGUGAGUUGCAGGUGCCAAGUACUUGGUAUCUUCAAAAAAGUCACACAAAAAAAAAUACUGGAAUUCAUUUGCCCAAUUAAACUCUUCAAGGUGGUGCCCCAGCAUGGCCAUAGUCCAAUGACUGAAAUGAUUAAAAGAUAAGAGGUAUUUAAAGUCUUCAAGGUAAUCACGCCUCACUGUACAAUAUUAGUAUUUGAUAUUCUGGUUAUCAAAUAUUAAAAAAAUAGUCACAAGAUUAUCAGUUGUCCUUUCAGGGUCAAAAGUAGCUGUGAAAUGGUAGAAUUAUUGAAGCAUUAUGCAAGAGGCUUUACAGUUUGUUUUUGGAUUUUUAUAUUUAGAGUUCAAAUCCUUGAUUGGAUGGAUUGGGAGGUGUCAAGGCAGCUCAUAAUAUACUGCAGUAUCACCAGCAUCUUUCUACUAUUGAGCAGCAGGCCUUCCGUUGCCUCAGUAAAAUGGUGCCAUAGAUUGUAUCCAUGACGACCUGCCAAGACCUGCUCGCAACUCUUUCACCUCAUUAAUCAAACUCACUAGCAAA